This 484-nucleotide ribosomal RNA is filed under the name uncultured bacterium. Its description in RNAcentral is "partial 16S ribosomal RNA". It matches the Rfam family "Bacterial small subunit ribosomal RNA", at positions 30 to 507 of the family's 1533-position model. The record is from RNAcentral.
AUUGAACGCUGGCGGCAGGCCUAACACAUGCAAGUCGAGCGGAUGAAGGGAGCUUGCUCCUGGAUUCAGCGGCGGACGGGUGAGUAAUGCCUAGGAAUCUGCCUGGUAGUGGGGGAUAACGUCCGGAAACGGGCGCUAAUACCGCAUACGUCCUGAGGGAGAAAGAGGGGGAUCUUCGGACCUCACGCUAUCAGAUGAGCCUAGGUCGGAUUAGCUAGUUAGUGGGGUAAAGGCCUACCAAGGCGACGAUCCGUAACUGGUCUGAGAGGAUGAUCAGUCACACUGGAACUGAGACACGGUCCAGACUCCUACGGGAGGCAGCAGUGGGGAAUCUUGGACAAUGGGCGAAAGCCUGAUCCAGCCAUGCCGCGUGUGUGAAGAAGGUCUUCUGAUUGUAAAGCACUUUAAGUUGGGAGGAAGGGCAGUAAGUUAAUACCUUGCUGUUUUGACGUUACCAACAGAAUAAGCACCGGCUAACUUCGUG